This 72-nucleotide transfer RNA is filed under the name Klebsiella pneumoniae. RNAcentral describes it as "tRNA-OTHER". It matches the Rfam family "tRNA". Rfam says of the family: Transfer RNA (tRNA) molecules are approximately 80 nucleotides in length. Lineage: Bacteria; Pseudomonadati; Pseudomonadota; Gammaproteobacteria; Enterobacterales; Enterobacteriaceae. The record is from RNAcentral.
GGGUCGUUAAGUUGGUAGAGCAGUUGACUUUUAAUCAAUUGGUCGCAGGUUCGAAUCCUGCACGACCCACCA